GAUGAACGCUGGCGGCGUGCCUAAUACAUGCAAGUCGAGCGAACGGACGAGAAGCUUGCUUCUCUGAUGUUAGCGGCGGACGGGUGAGUAACACGUGGAUAACCUACCUAUAAGACUGGGAUAACUUCGGGAAACCGGAGCUAAUACCGGAUAAUAUUUUGAACCGCAUGGUUCAAAAGUGAAAGACGGUCUUGCUGUCACUUAUAGAUGGAUCAGCGCUGCAUUAGCUAGUUGGUAAGGUAACGGCUUACCAAGGCAACGAUGCAUAGCCGACCUGAGAGGGUGAUCGGCCACACUGGAACUGAGACACGGUCCAGACUCCUACGGGAGGCAGCAGUAGGGAAUCUUCCGCAAUGGGCGAAAGCCUGACGGAGCAACGCCGCGUGAGUGAUGAAGGUCUUCGGAUCGUAAAACUCUGUUAUUAGGGAAGAACAUAUGUGUAAGUAACAGUGCACAUCUUGACGGUACCUAAUCAGAAAGCCACGGCUAACUACGUG
RNAcentral lists this ribosomal RNA (497 nucleotides) under uncultured bacterium. Its description in RNAcentral is "partial 16S ribosomal RNA". It matches the Rfam family "Bacterial small subunit ribosomal RNA", at positions 28 to 507 of the family's 1533-position model. The record is from RNAcentral.